GACGAACGCUGGCGGCGUGCUUAACACAUGCAAGUCGAACGGAAAGGCCCUGCUUUUGUGGGGUGCUCGAGUGGCGAACGGGUGAGUAACACGUGAGUAACCUGCCCUUGACUUUGGGAUAACUUCAGGAAACUGGGGCUAAUACCGGAUAGGAGCUCCUGCUGCAUGUUGGGGGUUGGAAAGUUUCGGCGGUUGGGGAUGGACUCGCGGCUUAUCAGCUUGUUGGUGGGGUAGUGGCUUACCAAGGCUUUGACGGGUAGCCGGCCUGAGAGGGUGACCGGCCACAUUAGGACUGAGGUACGGAGCAGACUCCUACGGGCGGCAGCAGUGGGGAGUAUUGCACAAUGGGCGGAAGCCUGAUGCAGCAACGCCGCGUGCGGGAUGACGGCCUUCGGGUUGUAAACCGCUUUCGCCUGUGACGAAGCGUGAGUGACGGUAAUGGGUAAAGAAGCACCGGCUAACUACGUG
RNAcentral lists this ribosomal RNA (468 nucleotides) under uncultured bacterium. Its description in RNAcentral is "partial 16S ribosomal RNA". It matches the Rfam family "Bacterial small subunit ribosomal RNA", at positions 28 to 507 of the family's 1533-position model. The record is from RNAcentral.